Molecule: long non-coding RNA, 1456 nt
Organism: Mandrillus leucophaeus (drill)
Lineage: Eukaryota; Metazoa; Chordata; Mammalia; Primates; Cercopithecidae
Exons: 5
Source: RefSeq, a predicted model, not a curated record
UAGGAACGCGGGGCUUCUUGGUGGGGCCGGAGCCGAGACCCAGCCGGAGCAAGCAACAGCCUACAUCUGACCUCAGAAUACCAGCAGCUGCGGCCUUUAUUGUGCUUUUGGUUUAAUUUGGGGAAACCCGUUUUUUCUCAACUCUGAGCCCCAGGGGAGGCUCCUCUGAGGCUGGGGAGGCCGGGAGGAGGACGGGUAUGAUUUAACCAGUCAAUACUCAAAGAUACAGGAGAGAGGGAACAAAAGACGCUUUAUGGUGGUUGAGAUCUUCCCAUGUCAACACACAAAGGUUUUCCUCAUCCUUUUUAAUGGCUGCAUGAUGUUCUGUUGCUUGGAUGAAGCAGGGUUUCCUUAUAUGGUCACUUCCUUGGGAACAUUUGCAUUGUUUCCUGUUUUCUGGUUGGUGAAAACCCUGUGUCCUUGGAGAAAGCUGGUUCCCGUUUUCCAGAGGGGGAGCCCAGAGCUUGAAAGGCCGCGGUUGGCACUUCGAGAAGGAAGUGGAGAGUAAAGACAGCGCCUGGAGUGAUCGUAGAAACACAGAAUGGGACUGGGGAAGCCCUUUGGAAAUCCAGCUGCAGAAACAGACACCCCAAUGCUAUUUACAUACAGCUCUAUAUAUAUAACAAAAAUAUGAAUAUUACGUAUCAGUGCAUGCCUUGUCGAGGACGUGGUUGCCUUCCUUUUCUGCACCUUGCGAUGUGAACUUUGAUAUUCUGUAAUGUCUGGGGCGCCAGAAGAGAGAUGCCUGCUGUGUACUUAGAAACUGUUUGCAAAGACUGGUGGGAAUUAGCCCUAGCAUCGGCCAACUGCCUGGGGAUAGAUGCUGGUGGAAUAAGAGGUAACAGUGCAAAAGGCAUGAUAGGGAAAAAAAAAAAAAGGUGAGGACUUGGGGCCAAUUGUGUAGGGGCAGUCUGGGGUGCCUCCAUUUCUUGACUUGUCCUAGCCUCUCCCUCUGUAUUUACCUAGGUCGAUCGCUAGAUCCCACUGUCACGUCGAGAGAAACGGGAUUUUUGUGUCUCUGGUGCUUCACUUAAAAUUUUGCUGGUGCUAAGUGCGUUCCUGCUGGUGCUGCUGUGGUAUUCUUUUGACAGACUUGUUGGAAGGCCAGGGGACAAGAGAGAUUUCUAUUUUGCUGUUUCAGAUUCUUUUUUUUUUUUUUUUUUUUAAGGGACAAGUUGCAAAAGUGCCACUUGAGAGUCUCUUCUCUUUCUCUACGUGGGGACAAAUAUCCAGAGGUGGUUUGGAGCAAACCUUGGGGUCUAGGAUGGAGGAUGGCAUUGAGAGGCUUGCUGGUUAUGAGGCAGAAAGCUGACCUCAUGCAUGACUUGGUUGCUAUCUCCUCCACCCCCACAAAAGUGUCCUCGGAGUUCAGCCCACAGCCUCCUCCACUCCCCAAGGGGAUUUCAGGGUUUAGGUUUUAUGGAUUAAAGAGCCAAGAAAUGGCUACAUUCUGGUC